ACUUGCCUAGCACUCUUGAGGCUCUGAGUUCCAUCCCCAGCCAGGAUGGAGUGGGAAUGGAUGUUUAGUGUUCAAAUCUGAAUUGAAGGCAAGGAUUGGGACCUGUUUCUACCUAGGGCUUAGCACAAGACCUCGAGCACUAUCAAUGCUCCCAUUUUGUAGUCACUUCCUUGUUGUUGGGACAAAAUACCUGUUGCCUGCAACUUAAAGGAGAGGUUUCUUUUGGUUCACAGUUCAGAGGAUGCAGUCCAUGGUAAGAACCUCCAAGACAGGAACACGAUGGUAGAAGGGCCUGGCAGGGGAGAGCGGCUCGCCUCUAGGCAGCCACGCACACAGGCGGGAGGGACCAGAGACAAGGCCACACCCCCAGCAACCACCUCCACUCAAGCCUUGCCUAGCAGCGUGGACAGCUCUGAAUUCAAUGGCUGAAUACACCGUUGGGUAUCGCUUCACCGUGAACCAAUCAGUUUCUACAGUUGGAUCAGCUGCAAGGAACUGUGUGGCUGCCGGCUCCUCCAAAAGGCUGAGGAUUCCUCCUGACAUCCA
Molecule: long non-coding RNA, 546 nt
Organism: Fukomys damarensis (Damara mole-rat)
Lineage: Eukaryota; Metazoa; Chordata; Mammalia; Rodentia; Bathyergidae
Exons: 2
Source: RefSeq, a predicted model, not a curated record